RNAcentral lists this long non-coding RNA (6615 nucleotides) under Arabidopsis thaliana (thale cress). RNAcentral's name for it is "potential natural antisense gene, locus overlaps with AT5G45470 (AT5G45472)". Lineage: Eukaryota; Viridiplantae; Streptophyta; Magnoliopsida; Brassicales; Brassicaceae. The record is from RNAcentral.
AGCGAAACCCACUUAAAAUGUGGAUUGAAAUUGAAAUCGAAUCGAAGGGAGAGCGAUUGUUCCAACCCUAGAAUCAGUCUGAAAUUGAAGCUCUUUAAGUAUCGAUGAGGUUUGAUUUCAGUGGAUUUGAUUGUGUGUGGUUUCUUCAUUCUUCAGUCGUAUCGAGGAUCAAUUAGAGUGAUUUCAAUUUAGUCUAUGCGGCUUCUUCUCUCAUAUUUAGGCUAUGCGGCUUCUUCUCUCACAGUCAUCGUGUGUGCUAUUGGUUUCAAUGGCGGCCAAAAGAUUUCUUCCCUCGCAGAUUUCUUGAGUUUUGAUCAGAAUUCACAUUUACUUCAUUGUUUAAGGUACAUUGAGAUAGUUCACUUGUCUUUCGCAGGUUUUUGGAAUUGUGUAAUCUGGAAUCAGCUAGAAUGAUCUUCAAGGCAAUCUCAUACAUGUCAUGACUCUUGUUGGAAUAUAAAAAGGAUAAAUGGGAUAAUUUUCAUCACAAAAAGCUUACAAAUGUCACAUCUUUAUGCAGAAAAGAAGAGUUCAUUGUUUUGAGCAGAAGAAAGUAGAAAGAAAUACAAAAGCAGAACGAAUUUAGAUUACGGGGAAUGUUGUUCUUCCUCACUCUCACUUGCCUAUGAUGAGUUUGGCUCUGGCAUCUCCUUUGUUGAUCUGGAACUGAUCUGUUAGUCCGAAGUGAGCCAUUAGAAGCCACACGAAGUUUAUGAGCUCUCCGCCUCUGCUGAGUUGCUCCACGUGAGCCGUAGAGUCGCAAUGACAGGCUGCAUAACAGAGAAGUUCCACCCACACUUUACUCAGUAUCUCCCAUUUAUCUUUGUUGUGUGUCUUCUCCAUCUCUGCAAGGUCUUUGGCUAGCCUGCUCGCGUCAAACAAUACAGACUUGCUUCGAUCUCCCUUCACUCCCAUUGGUUCAAUUUCACUUUCGACGUCCAGAAUAUUUAGGGUGGCUGUCUCCACGCUUCUAUCGUUCUCGAUAUGCCUCCUCUGGAAGAACUUGUGAGUUUCAGCCAAUGUGUCUCUGAAUCUGAUCUUCCCAAUUCCAGCAACCUCGGACAUCAGACCGGGUUGCAAGAUCAGGAGAUACAUCAUGUAGUCUGAGAUGAUUUUGCUGAACUCGCGGUUACUGUAAUGCUUGCGUUGUUCAUCAUAACCCUCUGGGAUAGUCUCUUUCUCAUGUUGUUGGUAACAGAGCUCGGUUGCGAUGUGCCACAUCAAAAGACUCUGAUCAUAAUCGACCUUUGUGACAUAGCGUACCAGUUUUUCACGUUCUGCAUCCACCGGCAGGUUCUCUCUUAAAGUCCAUUCUCCCCGAGCCAAAGAUAUCCUCUUGGCAUUUUCAGGACUGUCUCCAUACUUUGAUUUGUUUUUCAGCUCUUCGAAGAUGAACUUCCACAAUUCUCUCGUCAUGGGCUCUCCAUGUACAAAUAGUGUCUUGUGGACCAUAUCAAGCGUAUCCGAGAUGUCAAAGAACUCACUGAGGAUAUCCCACACUGAUUUGAUGAAGUGAGGGAUGCGGGAUAUGAACUCGAAAUAGAUAGGGUAAAGAAAACGACGAGCCCAAAGAUGCUUUCUUGAUAACGCAUUGACUUCGUGGCUGAUCCGUCUGUGCACUUCAUUGAUCAACUUGACAAUCGAUCCAAAAAUUUUCUUUAUGACGAAGUUGAGUUUUUUGAAUGGAAAAGUUAUGAUCUUCCAUGAGUAGCGGCGGAAACUACCUCUGGCGUCGUGGAUCCUCUCUACAUCUGCUUUUGUGGCGUACGCUAUAAAGUUAAAAACGUUGAUGCUUCCACUCCACCUCCGAAGGAAGAAACGCGUUGUGAGAACGUCAUGCUUAUCUACCAAUGAACACUUAUCAGCAGCUUCCUUCUUAUCGUCACCUUCCUUCUUAUUGCCACCUUCAUUCUUAUUGCCACCUUCCUUCUUAUCAGCACCUUUCAUGAUACACGGUUUCAAACCUUCUUUGGUACACUUAUGCAUACCAGUCUUGUGGCACUCUUGCGGCGUCCAACGCAGCUUUCUGAAUUUAAGUAACCAGUUAAAACAUCUCUCUUGCCAUGAUUGAAGCUCAUCCGGAUCGUCCUUCAAACUACUGUAUGCAGCACAUGUCCAGUCUGAGAACAGGAACAAAAGGAUGGAUAUGAAAUCCAAAACUAGGCCAACUGCAAACAGCGUAUAAGUAACUACGACAUCAGCUCCAUGAAAAUCUGUGCCUUUGUUAGGUUUCUUAUGAAAAAUGAUGAAUGCAGCCACAAGGGUACCAGAAGCAAAGACCCGUGAGACAGUUCCAAUACCGGUAUGAAGAAUCGCGAUCUUGGUGAAUAGAGCAUCAUAGAGAAAGCCGAGCUCAAUCUCAAUGAUCCUCAAAGCUUCCUCUGGAUCAUUUAAAUUCUCAAAGAUCUCUAGGCUCUCGUCACGCUCCCUGAAGCUGAAGAUAAGGUUGACUACAAGGCCCUUGAAUGUGUUGAAGAAUUUGUAAGCAUACUGAACAAUCUCAAGAUCGGUCAAAUCUUUUUUUCUUUUCUUCGAAGCUAAUGCUGGAUGCUCUAACUUCUUAGGCCUAUUUUCUUUGUCAGGCUCAUCAAUCAGAACGAUCUUGGUGGGAAGUCUUGCCUCUUUCUUGGCCUUGUACUCCUCCAUGAGCUUGGCGUAGUUUGGUCCUGGAUCUGGUGCUUGAAUCAUAGAGUCCCUAAACUUGUCCAAACUUGCACUAUACAGAGCCGUUGUCCUCUCCAGAUACUUUAUAGUCCCAGAAACAAACACUAAGACUAUAACCACCCAAAGGCUAUUGGGCAGAGACAUGACAACCACAUAGACACCAGCAAUUGCCUGAAAGACAAGCCCAAAGACAUGUCGUAGCCAGAGAGCGUUAUCUUCAAGCGCGAAAGCUGUGAUAGUGUCUGGUCCACCAAGAUGCAAGAGCAAGAAUGGUGCCCAUAAAGCCAUUACCUUUUUGUCCUGUGGAGGGUCAUCAGGUUUGAGAUCUUUACCUUGAUUCUUGGAGAUAAGACCAACAGCGAAAUUAGCAGACCAAUCUGCUAAGAGAUAAGAGGACCAAACAAGCACGAUCAAGAGCCUUCUUGGUGUACGUUUCCUUAGAGGAGAGAAGCAAAUGAGAAUGGCUUGAAGGGUAAGACUUAGAAUGACUGCUCCUCUUAUGUUCCACCUAUCCCAAACAUCUUUGAUAUGUUUUGGUAUCACUUCCACCAUUUUUGCUCUCUCUCAGAGGAAAAAAGAUAGAUCUUUUUCCUUCUCUCUUUCUCUCUCUUGGAUUUACUUGAGAAAUUUGAGUUUCUUUCUUUUUUUUUCUCUCUCUCUCUCUUCUGGUUAUUGAGAUGUUUUUUUUUCCUCAGAUUUACUUGAAAAGUUUGGGGUUUGUGGAAUGUUUUUGGGACGCCAUUGAUGUUGUUCUUUUUCUUUUCUUUUCUUUUUUUACCAGAAGCUCUCACUGGAGCGAGAAGAAAGACGACUCUGCAACUCAGAGUUCAGGACUAAAUCGAGAUUCUUGGUUGCAUCACUUCUGAGAUUCUGAAGUUUUUCUCUGGUCGGAUGAUGUUCACUAUUGCUGCUUCAUAAUGGUGGAUUCAAAGAGGGACAGAAGAAGGACAUGAGUUACAACAAUGCAGAUGAUUCAAGAACAGAUUGUUUUGCUGGCAAACAGUUGAAGACUACUCUUUGAAACAAAACAAAAAAAACACAAUGGAAGCAAAUGAGGGAAACUAAUCAAUUGCUGCUACUUUCGUUGCUUAUUGGAUGAUGAUCACUUGCCUAUAAUCAGUUUGGCUCUGGCAUCUCCUUGGUUGAUUUGGAAUUGGUCUCCUAGUCCAAAAUGAGCCAUCAAUAGCCAAACAAAGCUUAUGAGUUCUCCUCCUUUGCUUAGCUGAGCUGCGUGUUCUAUAGCGCCACACUUUGUCGCUGCAUACGAAAGCAACUCAACCCACACUUGGCUCAUUAUUUUCCACAUCUCUGAGUCGUCCUCCUUAUUCUUUCUUAAACCCUUAAGCUCUUUCGCCAGCAUGGCCCCAUCAAACAGGACGGAUUUGCUUCUAUCUCCUUUCACGUCAAUGGGCUCAGCUUUUGCUGGAACUGCCACUGAUAAAAUUGCCACGCUGGCUUCCUUUGCAUCAGGGGCCUUCUUUGCGGAUAUCCCCAUGAUAUGCCUCCUAUCGAAGAACCUCUGAGCCUCCUCGCACGUGUCUCUGAAUCUUAUCUUUCCAAUACCCACAACAGCUGACAUCAGAGUGGGUUGCAUCAUUAGGAGAUACAUCAUGUAGUCUGACAGGAUUUUACUGAACUCACGGGCGCUAUGAUUCGCUUUAGUGCCUUUUUUUGUCUGGUAUAAGAGCUCAGUGGCUAUAUGCCAUACAAGAAGGCUCUGAUCGUAAUCCAUUUCCAUCACAUAGCGUAGAAGUUUCUCACGUUUUUUUUCUGUUUCUGGGUCACCUUGUAUGUCGCGCAGUGUCCAGUCACCUCUUGCUGAAGAUACCCUCAUGGCGCUUUCAGAGUCGUCAGCGAAACGGGAUUUGGCUUUAACCUCUCCGAAUAUGUGUUCCCACAUAUCCAGGGUGAGACGAUCACUAGAUGUGUAGAUCACCUCAUCUAGCUGAGCUCGGAUGCCAAAGAACUCCAUAAAACUUUUUAUCCAGCGUCCAGGUAGACUAGGAAUGUAAAAUAUGCAGAAGAAGCUAAACCUAAUGUACUCUUCAUUCAACUUCGGGUAUUUCUUGCAUAAACGACUUACUUUACCGUCAAUCCACUUGAAAGUCUGAUGAAUUCUCUGUUUUGUGACUCUAAAACAGGAUUCAAUGACACUUCCAAGUUUUGUGAAUGCGGGGCCAAUGUAAAGUAUGUUGAUAACCUUGUCAAAGGCGAUGUGUAUGAAACCCUUGGUAUGGUGGAUUCGCUUCGGUUUUAAACCUAGGCAGUAUUCGAUCAGGUUGUGUGCAUGUACAUACUCAGACCACCGGCGAUACAUGAAACUCGUGUCGAGCACUUUAUGACAUGGUAUUGUCUUGGCACUCUUGUCGGGCACUUCCUGACCUGGUAUUUUGCUGGUACUCUUGUCGAGAACUUCAUGAGACUUCUCUGUCUUCAACUCCCUCACCCUGAGAAUCCUGUUAAGAAUCCUUUUAAGAAAUGGUGUUUUCUUAGUACUCGUGUUGGGCACUUCAUGAGACUGUGUAUUCUUGUAGCAUUCAUCAUACUCCUCCACCUUCAAUUUCCUGACCCCGAGAAUGUUUUCAAGAAUCCAGUUAAGAAUGUUGUCGGACCAGGUGGGUGGAUCGUCCACUUCGUCCUUCAUCUUCCUCAAUCUGACAAACGUCCAAUCAGAUGCACAGAACAUGAUAAGAGCGAUGCAAUCCAGAGCUAUUCCUCCUAACAGCAAUGCGUAAGUAAGGCCAACAUCAAAUCCACUAUAAUCUUUCUUGCUCUUGUAUUGAAAGAUGCGUAGAGCUGCUGCAAGGCAUCCCAGGGCAAUGAACCUGAAGAGGAAUCCUAUCCAGUUGUGCAAGAUCUCGGCUUUCGUGUAUAGAGCUGCGUAGAUAAAGUUGAGCUCAACCUCUAAGAUUCUUAAAGCUUCUUCUGCUUUCAGCGAGUCAAAGAAUCUCUUGCUCUCAGCUCGUUGUUGAAAUGUAAAGAUGAGAUCAACCACAAGACCUUUGAAGAUAUUAAAGUACUUGUAGGCGUACUGGAGAAUAUUGAGUGGAGUGAACCCGUCAGGAGGCUUUACCGGAGCAUCGUCUCUUGGAUCUUUCUCAGGCUCGCCAACCUUGAUAAUCUGUGUAGGCAUCUUCAUAUCUUUCUUGGCUGCGUAUUCCUCCAUGAGCUUUGCGUAGUUUGGUCCAGGAUCAGGCCGCUGAAUCAUGGAAUCUUUGAACUUGUCAAGACUCGCCAGGUACAAAGCUAAUGUCCUCUCGACAUACUUGAUCACCCCGGUCGCAAACACCAGCAAAAUAGGUUUCCAAAGAGCAUUGGGUAACGACUGCAAAAGCACGUAAACGGUUGCAACUGAUUGAAAGAAAAGACCCAACAAGUGCCUGAGCCAGAGCUCGUUAUCUUCAAGGGCAAGGGCAGUGAUUGUAUCUGGACCACCGAGAUGCAAGAGCAAGAAAGGAACCCAGAAAGCAAACAACUCGGCGCUCUUUUUCGGUUCUCCGGGUUCUGGAUCAUCUCCUUGACUAUCUGAGAUUUGUCCGGCGGCGAAAUUGGCAGACCAAUCAGCAAGAAGGUAAGCUGACCAAAUGAAAGAGAGUAAAACUUUUCUGGAUGAGCGUUUUCUUUGAGGUGCAAAGAAAAUGAGAAAUGUUUGAAGGCUGAGACUGAAGAUUAAGGUACUUCGAAUGCUCCAUUCGUCCCAAAUGUCCUUGAUAGGCUUUGGGAUUGCGUUCACCAUCUUGAAACUGAUUUGCUGAAACAGACAAGAACUGAUGGUUUAUGAGAUCUAACACAGAUACAUCUAAAGAGGUUGACUUCUUUCUUUUUCUGGUUUUACUAUGAGUUUUUUUGCUUUUGAGGCUUUUUGUUGUGUGUGAAGGUUUGAAUUAUUCUGGUUGGACAGCCAUUGGAGGCUACUUGGAGACCUUGAGAUUUCUCCGUUUUUCCUUGAAU